This 445-nucleotide ribosomal RNA is filed under the name uncultured bacterium. RNAcentral's name for it is "bacterial SSU rRNA". It matches the Rfam family "Bacterial small subunit ribosomal RNA", at positions 330 to 792 of the family's 1533-position model. The record is from RNAcentral.
CCCAGACUCCUACGGGAGGCAGCAGUGGGGAAUAUUGCACAAUGGGGGAAACCCUGAUGCAGCGACGCCGCGUGAGUGAAGAAGUAUUUCGGUAUGUAAAGCUCUAUCAGCAGGGAAGAAAAUGACGGUACCUGACCAAGAAGCCCCGGCUAACUACGUGCCAGCAGCCGCGGUAAUACGUAGGGGGCAAGCGUUAUCCGGAUUUACUGGGUGUAAAGGGAGCGUAGACGGUGAUGCAAGUCAGAAGUGAAAGCCCGGGGCUCAACUCCGGGACUGCUUUUGAAACUGUGUAACUGGAGUGCAGGAGAGGUAAGCGGAAUUCCUAGUGUAGCGGUGAAAUGCGUAGAUAUUAGGAGGAACACCAGUGGCGAAGGCGGCUUACUGGACUGUAACUGACGUUGAGGCUCGAAAGCGUGGGGGGCAAACAGGAUUAGAUACCCGAGUA